GGCGGUCGUCAGCUCGUGUCGUGAGAUGUUGGGUUAAGUCCCGCAACGAGCGCAACCCACGUCUUUAGUUGCCAGCAUUUAGUUGGGCACUCUAGAGAGACCGCCGGUGAUAAACCGGAGGAAGGUGUGGAUGACGUCAAGUCAUCAUGCCCCUUACAUCCUGGGCUACACACGUACUACAAUGCUACGGACAAAGGGCAGCAAACUCGCGAGAGCUAGCAAAUCCCAUAAACCGUGGCUCAGUUCAGAUCGUAGGCUGCAACUCGCCUACGUGAAGGAGGAAUCGCUAGUAAUCGCAGGUCAGCAUACUGCGGUGAAUACGUUCCCGGGCCUUGUACACACCGCCCGUCACACCAUGGAAGUUGGCCACGCCCGAAGUCGUUACUCCAACCCUUGUGGAGGAGGAUGCCGAAGGUGGGGCUGAUGACUGGGGUGAAGUCGUAACAAGGUAGCCGUACCGGAAGGUGCGGCUGGAUCACCUCCUAA
This 486-nucleotide ribosomal RNA is filed under the name uncultured cyanobacterium. RNAcentral describes it as "bacterial SSU rRNA". It matches the Rfam family "Bacterial small subunit ribosomal RNA", at positions 1047 to 1533 of the family's 1533-position model. Lineage: Bacteria; Bacillati; Cyanobacteriota. The record is from RNAcentral.